UCAGAUUAUUAACAGAUUAUUAGGCUGCAUGUAAACAUGGCUAACAGUCUCACAGUAAUUAUGAUCUUAUUCUACUUUUAUGCUGAAUUCAGAGCCAUUAAUGUUGUGUUAAUAAUUGUUCAUGUUCACUGUUUACUGGCUAUUCCUGGUAUAACACAAACUGGUUCAUUCCAGUAUUAAUAUAUGAUCAUUUUAAGAGUUAUUGGAAUAAAACCUGAACACUGUCUGAAUUUUAUAUUAUAUAUUUUUGUUACAGAGCUUUUGAUACAGAGAGUCUUUAUGAACCAUAGAUGUUUUGUGUGCAUUUUGUGUCCAUUAAUCUAAUGUUCGGAAUUAAUAAUAUGGCAGUAUAAUAAUUCUAUAGAAAAAUGUCAUGUAAACAGAGCAGUUUAAUAUUUUGUAUAGCCCCUUUUCUCUUUAGGACACCUGGCAAUAUUUUUGGGACAGUUCUGAAGUUCGGAGCCCUGUAUGGCUAUAUUUACAUCCCAGUGUUUUAAAUAUCCAGAAAUGUAAAAAAUGAACAGAAUUGCCCUGAAGUCCACUCAAUAUAUUUAAUAUAACUUUAUACAAUAUAUAUAACUUUAUAUAACAGUGCUGGUAGUAUAAGCCAGGUGAGAGUCUUCCAGCUUUCUUUCUUUAACAACAAGAAUGUGUUUUCAAGGUCAAUUUGAAGACAAUUGUUUCUUUCGUUGUUCUAACUUAUUUGGUGGCUAGUUUGGGUUUGAUCUUUAUAUGAUAAGGCUGCUGGUUUUGUAAUUGAUAUCAUUUGGCAUUUUUCCAGGCUUAAAUUCCUGGAGUUCAAUGAGGUUCAUAUUGCAUUCCAAAUAACAAAAUGGAAAAGUGAAAUUUCUUUUCCUUUUAAAUUAGACAAGUUCUGGACUCCAGGAACUUCGGAAUCUAGCCAAGGGUCCAGUUUGCCCCUGGAUGUGAACAUGCCGUACUCAUGUUCUACCUCGUGGCCAUGUUGAAAAGAUCUCGUGUACUGCAUCUCCCCUCAAUGUACAGUAACCAACGCGCCUCAGAACAAGAUGCAGCUGUUUGUCAUACUACUACUGGCUGUGCAGUGGACGGCCACCACGUUAGCGCGUAUUGGACCUUCACCAAAGUGUUGCCUAAAGCCAUCAGACAAGAACAUUGAAGUCACAAAACUAGAGAUGUUUGUGGUUCAGGAUCCAGCACUGUGUUCUGUCAAAGCAGUGAGG
Pygocentrus nattereri (red-bellied piranha) is the source of this 1202-nucleotide long non-coding RNA. RefSeq lists it as uncharacterized. NCBI's taxonomy places the organism in Eukaryota, Metazoa, Chordata, Actinopteri, Characiformes, Serrasalmidae. The transcript has 3 exons. The record is from RefSeq and is a predicted model, not a curated record.